GGUGAACGCUGGCGGCGUGCUUAACACAUGCAAGUCGAACGAUGAAGCCCAGCUUGCUGGGUGGAUUAGUGGCGAACGGGUGAGUAACACGUGAGUAACCUGCCCUUAACUCUGGGAUAAGCCUGGAAAACUGGGCCUAUUACGGGAAGGGGGCUCCCCCGACUGGUGGGGUUUGGGAAGGUUUUUCGGUUUUGGAUGGACUUCGCGCCCAAUAGCUUGUUUGUGAGGUAAUGGCUCACCAAGGCGACGACGGGUAGCCGGCCUGAGAGGGUGACCGGCCACACUGGGACUGAGACACGGCCCAGACUCCUACGGGAGGCAGCAGUGGGGAAUAUUGCACAAUGGGCGCAAGCCUGAUGCAGCGACGCCGCGUGAGGGAUGACGGCCUUCGGGUUGUAAACCUCUUUCAGUAGGGAAGAAGCGAAAGUGACGGUACCUGCAGAAGAAGCACCGGCUAACUACGUG
RNAcentral lists this ribosomal RNA (465 nucleotides) under uncultured bacterium. RNAcentral's name for it is "partial 16S ribosomal RNA". It matches the Rfam family "Bacterial small subunit ribosomal RNA", at positions 28 to 507 of the family's 1533-position model. The record is from RNAcentral.